Molecule: long non-coding RNA, 1271 nt
Organism: Pygocentrus nattereri (red-bellied piranha)
Lineage: Eukaryota; Metazoa; Chordata; Actinopteri; Characiformes; Serrasalmidae
Source: Ensembl
AUGAGUUUCUCAAAAAUUACUUGGCUUUUAACUUUUAUUUAUGUUACAUUCCCUUUUAGUUUUCGCCAUACACCAUUUCUGGUGAAGUGUUUGCUGGUGAAUUCUGGUGGUGAAGUGAUCGUGCUCCUCCCUCAAACCAUCCUCAGACAUUACAGCAGAGCAAAACUGGAGAAUAUUACACCCAGUUUGAGUCACUUAAGUUCUCUGCUGACUUUCUGUGACUCUGUCUUGAACUGUGCAUCAGCAAGAUGGAGGACAAACUGUGCUGAAAUUGCACAGAGUGCAGCUGUUUUUGCCAAAACAGACAGUGUAACAAUCAAUUGUAGCCAUGGUGACUCUAGCUUAAUAAAUAUGUAUUGGUAUCAGCAAAAGAGAGACAGUACAGCUAUGGCUCUGAUCGGCUACACUACCGGUGUGAGUAAUCCAGCAAACAAAGAAGAUGGAUUUAGUGGGCGAUUCACACUGAACAGACAGAGCAUCCAGAAAGGAGAUCUGACCAUAUCUGAGCUCCUCCAGUCUGAUUCUGCUGUUUAUUACUGUGCAGCCAGUAAACACAGUGCUGCACAUUCAUAUGAUUGUCAUACUAAAACCCCAAAUACCAAACUCACAGGUGCACAAAGCAAUUCUGGUUCAUCUGAUGAGGUUUCAUACUAAAGUUUUUUCCUAUGGAGGAAGUCUGUUCUCUUUCCCAAUGAACAAGAUGUAGGGCUUCUGGUUGACUUUCAGCAUUGGAACGCACCUCAGAGUGUUACAGCCAAUAGUGAACGUACAUGUAGAGCAUGUGCUCUCUGACUUCCCUUUCAGAUUCUUUCAAACUUCAACAGUUUUUUGUUUUUUUUUUGCCUGGGUUUAUGGGUUGUUUGUGGAUGUUGACCCGCUCCACUCCACAUGCACAUCUAAAAAAGAGGCAGUGUGAUAAAGUGGGACUGACUCUCACUCAAACUGUGAAUCAGAAGGAUGUGUGGUGCUCAUGGACUUUGUAUGUUCUUCAUUGUUUUUGUAGAUCCUUGAAAGAAAGGGUGCUAUUAUUGUUAAAGAAUUAUAAAUCUUUUUUCAAGUUUGUCUUUUUUCUUCUUCAGCAGGAACUACAAACAGCGUAACAUUUCAACAGAUCUCAUCACUUUUCACCAAUGAAUCAGACAGCAUAACAAUCGAGUGUAGCCAUUAUGACAGUACCUGUCAUAUUAUGGUAUGAGUAAAAGAGAGACAGUACAGCUAUGGUUCUGAUCGGCUCUGAUGAACCAACAUAUGAAAAUGGAUUUAGAGAGCGG